RNAcentral lists this transfer RNA (55 nucleotides) under Rotaria rotatoria. RNAcentral's name for it is "tRNA-Gln". The record is from RNAcentral. Lineage: Eukaryota; Metazoa; Rotifera; Eurotatoria; Philodinida; Philodinidae.
AUAUGGUUAAGAAAGUAGAUUUAUGUGAUUUUUUGGUAAUCAAGAUUAUUCAAUA